Molecule: long non-coding RNA, 297 nt
Filed under: Phoenix dactylifera (date palm)
Lineage: Eukaryota; Viridiplantae; Streptophyta; Magnoliopsida; Arecales; Arecaceae
Description: long non-coding RNA (PDAC_LNC005628)
Source: RNAcentral
UUAAACCCAAUUCGAAGCUGAACCGAUCCAAUCCAAGGAGGAAAAGGAUAAGAAGGAAACAACCCUACCCCAUCACGUGACGCUCAUGUGAGAAGUCCCCUCCACCGCUAUGCUCUUUCUCUAUUGUGCCGACCGAUGGCCCCUCUUAUAAGUAUUCGUCUAUCGGCUUUCUCCGGGGGCUGCCCUUUCCCUUCCUUCCCCACCUUCUCUCUCUCUCUCUCUCUCUCGCUCGUCUUUCACUCAUCAUAAGUCGUCUGGUCGAUGUGUAUGCAUCAUCGCCUCAUCAUCAUCAUCNNN